This 602-nucleotide ribosomal RNA is filed under the name uncultured Actinomycetes bacterium. RNAcentral's name for it is "bacterial SSU rRNA". It matches the Rfam family "Bacterial small subunit ribosomal RNA", at positions 63 to 661 of the family's 1533-position model. The record is from RNAcentral. Lineage: Bacteria; Bacillati; Actinomycetota; Actinomycetes.
CGAACGCUGGAGGCCAGCUUGCUGGGUUGGAUGAGUGGCGAACGGGUGAGUAACACGUGAGUAACCUGCCCCCUUCUUUGGGAUAACGGUCGGAAACGGCUGCUAAUACCGGGUAUUCACUCGUCCUUCGCAUGGGGGGUGGUGGAAAGGUUUUUUCUGGUGGGGGAUGGGCUCGCGGCCUAUCAGCUUGUUGGUGGGGUGAUGGCUUACCAAGGCUUUGACGGGUAACCGGCCUGAGAGGGUGACCGGUCACAUUGGGACUGAGAUACGGCCCAGACUCCUACGGGAGGCAGCAGUGGGGAAUAUUGCACAAUGGGCGAAAGCCUGAUGCAGCGACGCCGCGUGAGGGAUGACGGCCUUCGGGUUGUAAACCUCUUUCGCUCAUGGUCAAGCCGCAACAGUGGUUGUGGUGAGGGUAGUGGGUAAGGAAGCACCGGCUAACUACGUGCCAGCAGCCGCGGUAAUACGUAGGGUGCGAGCGUUGUCCGGAAUUAUUGGGCGUAAAGGGCUUGUAGGCGGUUUGUCGCGUCUGCCGUGAAAUCCUCUGGCUUAACUGGGGGCGUGCGGUGGGUACGGGCAGGCUUGAGUGCGGUAGGGGAGAC